Long non-coding RNA from Mercenaria mercenaria, 1768 nucleotides. RefSeq lists it as uncharacterized. The record is from RefSeq and is a predicted model, not a curated record. The transcript has 2 exons. NCBI's taxonomy places the organism in Eukaryota, Metazoa, Mollusca, Bivalvia, Venerida, Veneridae.
AAAAUCAAAGUGUCAUAUGGUGAAGCGAGCAGAACCUAUUUUUCCAGGUAUUCUGUUACAGAUUCAUAAAGUUUUAGAUUUUUCAAAGGCUGAUAGUUAUGUUUACUGGUGUCUUUUCCUUUACGCCUUUUUUCUUUUGGCCAGAAAAUCAAACUUAGUACCCACUUCCAGACAUGAUUUAAUAAAUCCAAAAUCUUUACUCAGUAGGGAUGUUAUGCAAUCCGAGUUAGGACUGUUAGUAACCAUAAAGUGGUCCAAGACCAUUCAGCAAGGGGAAAGAGUGCUUCAGUUCCCUCUGGCACCUAUUCCUCAUUCACCAUUGUGUCCAGUUACAGCCUAUAAUAACAUGAUUUCCUUGAUUCCCAGGUCUCAUGCCUCGCCACUGUUUGUUUUGAAAUCUGGCAAAUUGGUUUCAUACCGUAUGUUCUUGAAACAGUUACGUUUUGUAAUUUCACAGAUAGGCCUGGAUCCUUACAAGUACUCGACUCAUAGUUUUCGUCGUGGUUUUACAACAUUAGCCUUUCGUUUAAAUUUACCAGCUGACAUUAUUCAAAAUUUGGGGGACUGGAAAUCUUAUUGUUACAAAAAGUACCUAGAAUUUACUUUGUCAGACAAGGUUAGAGUGUCUAAGUUUAUAUCUAGCAACUUACAGAGAGGCAUUUUUGAAGCAGAUGGGUUUUCAAAAUGUUGAGUCUUAUUUUCAUGAUACGAGUGUUUGUCUUCGACCUUAAGAAGGGGAGACGACCCUACUUACAGUGGCAGUUUUGACAUCACUGGGUAGGAUCACGUGGUUCUGUGUAUCAUGUUUUAAGACUUUUCAGAUUGUAUACUCAUUUGCGUUAUGUUUAUUGUCUAAGUAUAGAUUAGAUUAUGAAAGUGUAUAUAUAGUUUUAAAUUAUUUCCUAUGAUAGUCAGAAUAGUUACUUAGGCAUGUCCAGUGUACACUUGACAGUAAACUGAGAAGCAAACUCAGUUCGAAAGUAAAGACAGUUUUAAUUAUUUGUUUUACUCAUAUUGUCUUUAUAAUUAUUUAAUUUAAUGUGAUGAUUAAUUAUGCAUGUUUUUAAUACUUGUUUUUUCUUUGCAGACUGUCACAAAAUCCGUAAAGUUCUCAUUGUUGGGGAUUCCAUAGUGAAGCAUUUACCACAUAUUGAAGGUGUUACUAAUUUGUCUUUUAGGGGGGCAACUAUAGGGAUUCUAUGAAGUUAAACAGUUUGUUCAAGAGAAUUUACUAUAUAAGAGGUAGGCUAUCAUGUUGAACUGUUACUAUUUGUUUUUACUGCAUUGUGUUCCAUUACAGCUUAUUUGCAUUUGUAUUUACUAAGGAUACAUGAGAUUCUAAAACUAUGUAUAUAAAAUUUUUGGAAACUAUUUGAAGAUCUUUUUAUAGAGACAGAUUUGUGUCUCCAGGCAUAACUUUAUCAUUUCAGUUACGCAAGCUACAUUCAUCAUUCAUUACUAUUUAUGAAUUUCAUGUAAUCUUAUAUUAAUAUUAACCACCUUUUGGCUUAUGACAAGCAUCCCUUAUGUUUUGAUAGGAUUGCUUGCCUUACCAAAUUUGCCUUGACUUUGUUUGCGUUGUCUUGCUUGCUUACCUUAUAAUUUUGCCUUUAUUGCCUUGUUUAUUUGUGUCGUUUGCUUUAUGUUUAUUUGCCUAUGUUUUGCUUGUUUUGGCUGUAAUUUGGCGGUUUUCAGUAUAUAUUUAUAUAAUUGAUAAUUAAAUUGAUACACGUGUGAUUAUAUUUGGCAUUAAAAUUCAUAUUUAUUA